UGCCAGCCGCCGCGGUAAUACGGAGGGUGCAAGCGUUAAUCGGAAUUACUGGGCGUAAAGCGCGCGUAGGCGGUGAGUUAAGUCAGCUGUGAAAGCCCUGGGCUCAACCUGGGAACUGCAGUUGAUACUGGCUCACUAGAGUACGAGAGAGGGGGGUAGAAUUCCACGUGUAGCGGUGAAAUGCGUAGAUAUGUGGAGGAAUACCAGUGGCGAAGGCGGCCCCCUGGCUCGAUACUGACGCUGAGGUGCGAAAGCGUGGGGAGCAAACAGGAUUAGAUA
RNAcentral lists this ribosomal RNA (279 nucleotides) under uncultured bacterium. RNAcentral describes it as "partial 16S ribosomal RNA". It matches the Rfam family "Bacterial small subunit ribosomal RNA", at positions 506 to 784 of the family's 1533-position model. The record is from RNAcentral.